GACGAACGCUGGCGGCGCGCUUAACACAUGCAAGUCGAACGAGAAGCUCGGUGCUUGCACCGGGUGGACAGUGGCGAACGGGUGCGUAACACGUGAGCAACCUGCCCCGGAGACCGGAAUAACCCGAGGAAACUCGGACUAAUACCGGAUGCCCUCCUCGGAUCGCAUGGUCCGGUGAGGAAAUGGUCUGCCGCUCCGGGAUGGGCUCGCGGCCUAUCAGCUUGUUGGUGAGGUAACGGCUCACCAAGGCAACGACGGGUAGCUGGUCUGAGAGGACGAUCAGCCACACUGGGACUGAGACACGGCCCAGACUCCUACGGGAGGCAGCAGUGGGGAAUCUUGCGCAAUGGGGGAAACCCUGACGCAGCGACGCCGCGUGCGGGAUGAAGGCCCUAGGGUUGUAAACCGCUUUCAGCAGGGACGAAAUUGACGGUACCUGCAGAAGAAGGCCCGGCCAACUACGUG
RNAcentral lists this ribosomal RNA (465 nucleotides) under uncultured bacterium. RNAcentral's name for it is "bacterial SSU rRNA". It matches the Rfam family "Bacterial small subunit ribosomal RNA", at positions 28 to 507 of the family's 1533-position model. The record is from RNAcentral.